UGUAGGAAAACAUGAAGAUUACUGUAUAUUUUAAAGUCAAAUCUUUUAGUGUGAUUCACUUGAAAAAUUUGAACCUUCACCUAUGUACUGUAUUUCAAGUGUAUUUUUUCAGAAUGUCAAAAGACUGAAGGAGGAGACCAGUCUCCUUGAAGAAAAGCAGGCAGAGCUGGACAUCAACGACACUGUGCUUCAGGAGUGGGUUGCUGAGGUGCAGCAGUGAAAUGAAGGCAACAGCCAUCUUGCCAUCAAAAAGGCAAUCUUCGACAGACUGAUGUUGUUGAACAGACUGCAGGAGGAAGAGAGGAUCCUGGGGCAGGAGAUGAAGAGGCACUGGGGGAGCCUACAAAGAGCAAGGGGAACUCUGGAGGCACUGUCCCAACAGCUGCAAGAUCAGAGCAAUGCAGUGGAGUUGUCAGAGGGAGGGAGGGAGGAAUGGCCUUCUCUGCCACCUGAAGAGAAGAUUGAGUGAACUGACACAAGACCAAGUCAACACCAGGAAUACCUACCACAAGCUGAUUCUGGGAGAAGGGGAUAUUCUUGAUGACUCUGAUGUAGACGAGAACUCAGAUGAAGAUAGAAGUCCUAUUGCUGAGAGCUCAGAUGAUGACUGCUAUGCUUUCCCGCAGGAGAGGUAAAAGGCAGCCACCACCUCCCUUGGGAGCAGCCUGGUCUCCUGACGUUGACCCCUGACCCCUCACCUUCUGAACCCAUCCAGAGAAAUGUAAUUUGCCUGAUGACGUGCUAGUGGAGAAGGAAUUUGUAAUUUCAGCACAUUUGUUGCCAUAUUUUCUCUCCUCUCCUCCAUUUCUUCCGGU
Long non-coding RNA from Coregonus clupeaformis (lake whitefish), 815 nucleotides. RefSeq lists it as uncharacterized. NCBI's taxonomy places the organism in Eukaryota, Metazoa, Chordata, Actinopteri, Salmoniformes, Salmonidae. The record is from RefSeq and is a predicted model, not a curated record. The transcript is spliced from 3 exons.